Small nucleolar RNA from Caenorhabditis elegans, 75 nucleotides. Lineage: Eukaryota; Metazoa; Nematoda; Chromadorea; Rhabditida; Rhabditidae. The record is from Ensembl.
CAGUCGAGGAGGAAAGUUUCCAUGCACCACUCUGAAGGAUAGUGUGGAUUAUGGUUCACAAUUUACUGAGGCUGU